Molecule: ribosomal RNA, 468 nt
Filed under: uncultured bacterium
Lineage: Bacteria
Description: partial 16S ribosomal RNA
Rfam family: Bacterial small subunit ribosomal RNA
Source: RNAcentral
GACGAACGCUGGCGGCGUGCUUAACACAUGCAAGUCGAACGGAAAGGCCAUGCUUUUGUGGGGUGCUCGAGUGGCGAACGGGUGAGUAACACGUGAGUAACCUGCCCUUGACUUUGGGAUAACUUCAGGAAACUGGGGCUAAUACCGGAUAGGAGCUCCUGCUGCAUGGUGGGGGUUGGAAAGUUUCGGCGGUUGGGGAUGGACUCGCGGCUUAUCAGCUUGUUGGUGGGGUAGUGGCUUACCAAGGCUUUGACGGGUAGCCGGCCUGAGAGGGUGACCGGCCACAUUGGGACUGAGAUACGGCCCAGACUCCUACGGGAGGCAGCAGUGGGGAAUAUUGCACAAUGGGCGGAAGCCUGAUGCAGCAACGCCGCGUGCGGGAUGACGGCCUUCGGGUUGUAAACCGCUUUCGCCUGUGACGAAGCGUGAGUGACGGUAAUGGGUAAAGAAGCACCGGCUAACUACGUG